RNAcentral lists this long non-coding RNA (906 nucleotides) under Carica papaya (papaya). Its description in RNAcentral is "long non-coding RNA (CPAP_LNC015781)". The record is from RNAcentral. Lineage: Eukaryota; Viridiplantae; Streptophyta; Magnoliopsida; Brassicales; Caricaceae.
ACCAUUAACCAAUGUUUAUUAUAUGUAUGUAUUUAUACAUAUGUAUGUGUAUGACGUCAGAAACCAAUGAUUACACGAGGUGACAAACUAUUUACUUAUAAUUAACUAUAAUAGUUCAUCAUAACUUUUUAGAUAUUAUAUAUUUAUAUAUGUGAUACAACUUGGGUAGCUAUUUAUUGGGCGGCUUUCCCUCCCCAUAAGGUUUUGGGAGAUUUCUGGACAAGAUAACUUGAAGUCGCGUGUCUCAUCUGGUUCAACUUCAACCAGGCAAAUCUCAAGCUGGUUAUUUGUGGAUGCGGUAUAUACGUACAUGUAUAGUAUGUAUAUACAUACACUCAGAUUCCCCAGCAUUCGUUCAUAUGGGGACACAAAGGAGAUUAUUAUCACCGUCGUCGUCGUCGUCGUCGUCAUAUCAAUAACAUGAUACAGAAAAAUAUUAUAAGGGCAUAUGACUUCCAGUAGCUUCGAUUGCAGGAUAGGCUGGGCGUUCUCGUUCCUUCUCUAAAUUUGGACCACCAAACAUCAAUUUGGUUUAAUUAGAUUUUCAUGUUAGUAUUUCUAUUUUCUUUAUGAAUAUAUAAAUUUGAUUUGAAUUAUUAAAAUAUAUAAAUUUAAUUUAAUUAUAAUUUUUUAAUGUAAGCAUUUUAAGAUAUCGUAGUUUUUUUUUUUUAAAUCAAAGUAUUACCUCAAUAUGUAUUUUCUUUUUUUAUUUUGAAUUAAAAUGAAAAAGGAAAGAAAUAAACGAGGGCCAUAAAUGAGGUCAAGUACGGUAGAUAUUUCGAAAACAAAUUACCGGGUACGGGUUGGACCACAUGGAUCUCAUGAAAAGUAACAGCCACGUUAAAUUUAUAUUCAAAAUAAUUUUUUUAUGAUUAACAUUAAUUUAAUUUAGGGUUUAAUACGCCC